RNAcentral lists this transfer RNA (66 nucleotides) under Mesopodagrion tibetanum. RNAcentral describes it as "tRNA-His". The record is from RNAcentral. Lineage: Eukaryota; Metazoa; Arthropoda; Insecta; Odonata; Megapodagrionidae.
UCUUAAGUAGUUUAUAUCAAAAUGACGAUUUGUGGUGUCGUUGAUGCAUUUAUUGUGCCUUAGGUA